GGGGGUGUCCCGGUUUCGACUGUUGCGGUCUUGAGUCUCGGGUUGCAGGUGGCGUGCCGAUGCCUACUCUCGGCAAAACCUUUAAUUGCCAACAACAACGGCAAUUUCGCUCUCGCUGCGUAAGCACCGACAGUGAACGGACCCCGCAGGGCCCCGCUCUGAGCGCUGCGAACGGUUUGUAAACCAACCAGGGCUUACCUGCCAGCCAGUCGUCGGGCCGGUGGGGAAACUUAGACGGCUAAGGAAUCGAUAGCGCGCGGCCUCGCCACCCGGAUCCCGACAACUUGAACAAGCCGCUAAACCUGUAGACGCCCCCGGUUCGCGCAAUAGGACACGGGUUCGACUCCCGUCACCUCCAAAA
Molecule: transfer-messenger RNA, 361 nt
Filed under: Spirochaetes bacterium GWB1_60_80
Lineage: Bacteria; Pseudomonadati; Spirochaetota
Also listed under: 6 other names
Rfam family: transfer-messenger RNA
About the family: Bacterial tmRNA, also known as 10Sa RNA or SsrA, is named for its dual tRNA and mRNA-like properties. Its role is to liberate the mRNA from a stalled ribosome.
Source: RNAcentral